UACAGAGGGGGCAAGCGUUGUUCGGAAUUACUGGGCGUAAAGCGUGCGUAGGCGGUUCGUUAAGUGCGUCGUGAAAGCCCCGGGCUCAACCUGGGAAUGGCGAUGGAAACUGGCGGGCUGGAGUAUGGCAGAGGGGGGUGGAAUUCCCGGUGUAGCGGUGGAAUGCGUAGAGAUCGGGAAGAACACCAGUGGCGAAGGCGGUCUGCUGGGCCGUUGCUGACGCUGAGGCGCGACAGCGUGGGGAGCAAACAGG
RNAcentral lists this ribosomal RNA (253 nucleotides) under uncultured bacterium. Its description in RNAcentral is "partial 16S ribosomal RNA". It matches the Rfam family "Bacterial small subunit ribosomal RNA", at positions 524 to 776 of the family's 1533-position model. The record is from RNAcentral.